GUGGUUGUGGCUCAGUGGUAGAGCGCUCGCCUAGCACAGGCGAGGCCCUGGGUUCAAUCCCCAACAUCACA
Molecule: non-coding RNA, 71 nt
Organism: Ictidomys tridecemlineatus (thirteen-lined ground squirrel)
Lineage: Eukaryota; Metazoa; Chordata; Mammalia; Rodentia; Sciuridae
Source: Rfam